GAUGAACGCUGGCGGCGUGCCUAAUACAUGCAAGUCGAGCGAACAGAUAAGGAGCUUGCUCCUUUGACGUUAGCGGCGGACGGGUGAGUUACACGUGGAUAACCUACCUAUAAGACUGGGAUAACUUCGGGAAACCGGAGCUAAUACCGGAUAACAUAUUGAACCGCAUGGUUCAAUAGUGAAAGGCGGCUUUGCUGUCACUUAUAGAUGGAUCCGCGCCGUAUUAGCUAGUUGGUAAGGUAACGGCUUACCAAGGCAACGAUACGUAGCCGACCUGAGAGGGUGAUCGGCCACACUGGAACUGAGACACGGUCCAGACUCCUACGGGAGGCAGCAGUAGGGAAUCUUCCGCAAAGGGCGAAAGCCUGACGGAGCAACGCCGCGUGAGUGAUGAAGGUCUUCGGAUCGUAAAACUCUGUUAUCAGGGAAGAACAAAUGUGUAAGUAACUGUGCACAUCUUGACGGUACUUGAUCAGAAAGCCACGGCUAACUACGUG
RNAcentral lists this ribosomal RNA (497 nucleotides) under uncultured bacterium. Its description in RNAcentral is "partial 16S ribosomal RNA". It matches the Rfam family "Bacterial small subunit ribosomal RNA", at positions 28 to 507 of the family's 1533-position model. The record is from RNAcentral.